RNAcentral lists this ribosomal RNA (433 nucleotides) under uncultured bacterium. RNAcentral's name for it is "partial 16S ribosomal RNA". It matches the Rfam family "Bacterial small subunit ribosomal RNA", at positions 29 to 507 of the family's 1533-position model. The record is from RNAcentral.
AGCGAACGCUGGCGGCAGGCCUAACACAUGCAAGUCGAACGAACUCUUCGGAGUUAGUGGCGGACGGGUGAGUAACACGUGGGAACGUGCCUUUUGGUUCGGAAUAACACAGGGAAACUUGUGCUAAUACCGAAUGUGCCCUUCGGGGGAAAGAUUUAUCGCCAUUAGAGCGGCCCGCGUCUGAUUAGCUAGUUGGUGAGGUAACGGCUCACCAAGGCGACGAUCAGUAGCUGGUCUGAGAGGAUGACCAGCCACACUGGGACUGAGACACGGCCCAGACUCCUACGGGAGGCAGCAGUGGGGAAUCUUGCGCAAUGGGCGAAAGCCUGACGCAGCCAUGCCGCGUGAAUGAUGAAGGUCUUAGGAUUGUAAAAUUCUUUCACCGGGGACGAUAAUGACGGUACCCGGAGAAGAAGCCCCGGCUAACUUCGUG